GCUGGUGGCAUGCCUAACACAUGCAAGUCGAACGUGAUCCAGGCUUCGGCCUGGUGAAAGUGGCAGACGGGCGAGUAACGCGUGGGAACCUGCCCUGUGGUAGGGAAUAACCGUGGGAAACUGCGGCUAAUACCCUAUGAGUCCUUCGGGAGAAAGAUUUAUCGCCAUAGGAGGGGCCCGCGUCGGAUUAGGUAGUUGGUGGGGUAACGGCCUACCAAGCCUUCGAUCCGUAGCUGGUCUGAGAGGAUGAUCAGCCACACUGGGACUGAGAUACGGCCCAGACUCCUACGGGAGGCAGCAGUGGGGAAUAUUGGACAAUGGGGGCAACCCUGAUCCAGCAAUGCCGCGUGGAUGAUGAAGGCCUUCGGGUUGUAAAGUCCUUUCGGCGGGGAAGAUGAUGACGGUACCCGCA
Molecule: ribosomal RNA, 412 nt
Filed under: uncultured soil bacterium
Lineage: Bacteria
Description: bacterial SSU rRNA
Rfam family: Bacterial small subunit ribosomal RNA
Source: RNAcentral